GGGGCCAUAGCUCAACUGGUAGAGCACCUCAAUGGCAUUGAGGAGGUUUGGGGUUCGAGACCCCAUGGCUCCA
Molecule: transfer RNA, 73 nt
Filed under: Candidatus Xiphinematobacter sp.
Lineage: Bacteria; Pseudomonadati; Verrucomicrobiota; Spartobacteria
Description: tRNA-Ala
Rfam family: tRNA
About the family: Transfer RNA (tRNA) molecules are approximately 80 nucleotides in length. Their secondary structure includes four short double-helical elements and three loops (D, anti-codon, and T loops).
Source: RNAcentral